AAGGAAUAUUGGGCAAUGGACGCAAGUCUGACCCAGCCAUGCCGCGUGCAGGAUGACGGCCCUAUGGGUUGUAAACUGCUUUUGUACGGGAAGAACCCCUUCGAUUCUUCGGAGGCUGACGGUACUGUACGAAUAAGCAUCGGCUAACUCCGUGCCAGCAGCCGCGGUAAUACGGAGGAUGCAAGCGUUAUCCGGAUUUAUUGGGUUUAAAGGGUGCGCAGGCGGAAUGGUAAGUCAGUGGUGAAAUCUCCCGGCUCAACCGGGAAACUGCCGUUGAUACUGCCGUUCUAGAGUACAGUUGGGGUGGGCGGAAUGUGUCAUGUAGCGGUGAAAUGCUUAGAUAUGACACAGAACACCGAUCGCGAAGGUAGCUCACCAAGUUGUAACUGACGCUCAUGCACGAAAGCGUGGGGAUCAAACAG
This 422-nucleotide ribosomal RNA is filed under the name uncultured bacterium. RNAcentral describes it as "bacterial SSU rRNA". It matches the Rfam family "Bacterial small subunit ribosomal RNA", at positions 356 to 775 of the family's 1533-position model. The record is from RNAcentral.